RNAcentral lists this long non-coding RNA (212 nucleotides) under Mytilus galloprovincialis (Mediterranean mussel). Lineage: Eukaryota; Metazoa; Mollusca; Bivalvia; Mytilida; Mytilidae. The record is from RNAcentral.
UCGAUAGACUAGUUGUCUCAUAGGCAAUCAUACCACAUCUUAUUUUAUAGACUGGUUGGCUGGAAUCAGAAUAUUAAUUAAGGAUAUGUUGAUCUAGUUUUGAGGUUAAAAUGUUGAAGCCACAGACCAAAAAUGGAAGUGAAAGGUUUUUGUCGAGCCUUCGACUUUAGUCGAAAAGUGAGACUAAGCAAUCCUACAUUCCGUUGGCGGCG